GCAAUUGGCUUUUCAGGGAGCAUCAGCUCUGGCUAUAAAAUGCAGUUGUUUUUUUCGUCAUGCUUUGUUUAAAGGUUUGAUUUUACAUUUCUAAAAGAAAGAUAUAUAGCAUUUUCCAAUUUUUUAAAGUUGUGUUAUAGACAACCUUGUGUGCCAGAGGACAAUAAUUUAGAAGAGUAUGUCAUCAGUCUGCUCAUAUGACCAUAGGCAGUGAUUUUUGUAAAUAUCCACACAUAUCUCAUUGAUACACUGUACAGUUUAUUGUCAUUACCCAAUGGUUUAUAACAGUAUUUAAUACACUUUGUAAUGGGUUUUGGCUCCACAGACACACGGACACAGGGCAAGGUCUUUAGGACAAAAGGUAAUUUAUUUGGAGAAAGGGGAAGGAAGGGAGGAAUGGAAGACAAGAAAAAAGGAACAAAGUGGUGAAGCUGUGCAUGUGGAGGCCCUCAGCCUAUAAAACACGUUUGUAUCAUUUGCAGGGAAACACCCAACCCAAAAAAAGAGGUUUUCUCGACACUGAGAAGGAUGAGUGGCUGUCUUCCAGGAGGUGAUGGUGGUCUCCCAGGAAGUGGUGGGAGUGGUGGUGGUGGUGGAGUUGGAGGACCCAAAUGCUGUGGAGGUGGCAGAUGUUGUGGCGGUGGUGGUGGAGCUGGUGGUGCUGGAGGACUUGGCG
Clarias gariepinus (North African catfish) is the source of this 676-nucleotide long non-coding RNA. RefSeq lists it as uncharacterized. Lineage: Eukaryota; Metazoa; Chordata; Actinopteri; Siluriformes; Clariidae. The record is from RefSeq and is a predicted model, not a curated record. The transcript is spliced from 3 exons.